Molecule: non-coding RNA, 73 nt
Organism: Phrynosoma platyrhinos (Desert horned lizard)
Lineage: Eukaryota; Metazoa; Chordata; Lepidosauria; Squamata; Phrynosomatidae
Source: the annotation of a GenBank genome assembly
GCCAGCGUGGAAUAGUGGUUUGAGUGCUGGGACUAGGACUCUGGAGACCAGGGUUCGAUUCCCAGCUCGGCCA